Molecule: ribosomal RNA, 467 nt
Filed under: uncultured bacterium
Lineage: Bacteria
Description: partial 16S ribosomal RNA
Rfam family: Bacterial small subunit ribosomal RNA
Source: RNAcentral
GACGAACGCUGGCGGCGUGCUUAACACAUGCAAGUCGAACGGAAAGGCCCUGCUUUUGUGGGGUGCUCGAGUGGCGAACGGGUGAGUAACACGUGAGUAACCUGCCCUUGACUUUGGGAUAACUUCAGGAAACUGGGGCUAAUACCGGAUAGGAGCUCCUGCUGCAUGGUGGGGGUUGGAAAGUUUCGGCGGUUGGGGAUGGACUCGCGGCUUAUCAGCUUGUUGGUGGGGUAGUGGCUUACCAAGGCUUUGACGGGUAGCCGGCCUGAGAGGGUGACCGGCCACAUUGGGACUGAGAGACGGCCCAGACUCCUACGGGAGGCAGAAGUGGGGAAUAUGGCACAAUGGGCGGAAGCCUGAUGCAGGAACGCCGCGUGCGGGAUGACGGCCUUCGGGUUGUAAACCGCUUUCGCCUGUGACGAAGCGUGAGUGACGGUAAUGGGUAAAGAAGCACCGGCUAACUACGU